GAGUCUGUAGCUUAAUUGGGAAAGCGUCUACCUUGCAAGUAGAAAAAUGUCAGUAUCUGCGUUGCAGACGCUAACGCGAACAAAUCUGACCAGAAUCCACCA
This 102-nucleotide transfer RNA is filed under the name Romeriopsis navalis LEGE 11480. RNAcentral describes it as "tRNA-Ala". It matches the Rfam family "tRNA". From Rfam's summary of the family: Transfer RNA (tRNA) molecules are approximately 80 nucleotides in length. Their secondary structure includes four short double-helical elements and three loops (D, anti-codon, and T loops). The record is from RNAcentral. Lineage: Bacteria; Bacillati; Cyanobacteriota; Cyanophyceae; Leptolyngbyales; Leptolyngbyaceae.